AUGUCGUGGGCUUCUCUUGUGAUCAUACUUCUGGCACACUGCACAGGGGCCAUUUCACAGGUUUUUGUGAUUCAGGAAUCUUCACUCACCACAUCUCCUGGAGGGACAGUCACAUUCACCUGUGGCUCAAGAACUGGGGCAGUUACCACCAGUAAUUAUGCCAACUGGGUCCAAGAAAAAUAUCACCAAGUACACACUGAUCUGAUAGCUGCUACCAGCAGAAGAGCCUCAGGAAUUCCUGCCCGAUUCUCAGGCUCAGUGCUUGGAGACAAGGCUGCCCUCACCAUCACAGGGGCCCAACCUGAGGAUGAAGCUGUGUAUUACUGUUCUCUGUGGAAUGGUGAUCAUUUCCACAACAAUACACGCAGAUGGGGAAGUAGAACACAAACCCACUGGUGCAGCCUUAUACCUGCUGUCUUCUUACCAUAUGGCUACAUCUCCGUAGGCUCAGAGUGCAUGAUCUCUAUUACUGUAGAGAAGAUCAUGAAGGCUAUUGUCUAA
This is a non-coding RNA of Mesocricetus auratus (golden hamster), 501 nucleotides long. The record is from the annotation of a RefSeq genome assembly. NCBI's taxonomy places the organism in Eukaryota, Metazoa, Chordata, Mammalia, Rodentia, Cricetidae.